RNAcentral lists this ribosomal RNA (435 nucleotides) under Carapoia genitalis. Its description in RNAcentral is "partial 16S ribosomal RNA". Lineage: Eukaryota; Metazoa; Arthropoda; Arachnida; Araneae; Pholcidae. The record is from RNAcentral.
UUCUCUAAGAUCUAAUUUAGAGUAAAACCUGCUCAAUGUAAUUAUAAAUAGCCGCAGUUUACUGUGCUAAGGUAGCAUAAUCAUUAGCUUUCUAAUUAAAAGAUAGAAUGAAUGGUUAUAUGAAAUAUAAACUGUUUCUAAAUUACCAUAAUAAUUUUAAAAAAAAGUAAAAAUUCUUUUAUUCUUAAGAAAGACGAUAAGACCCUAAUAAACUUUUAUAUUUUGCUGGGGCGGCAAAUAAAUAAAACCUUAAUUUAUAAAAAUAUUAAAUAAACUAAUACAAUUAACUUACAAAGUUACUAUAGGGAUAACAGCGCAAUCUUUUUUUAAAGCUCUAAUCUAAAAAAAGUCUUACGACCUCGAUGUUGAAUUAAUAUUCUUUAUUAUUAUAGCGCAAAAGCUAUAAAAGAUAGUCUGUUCGACUAUUAAAAAAUU